This 253-nucleotide ribosomal RNA is filed under the name uncultured bacterium. Its description in RNAcentral is "partial 16S ribosomal RNA". It matches the Rfam family "Bacterial small subunit ribosomal RNA", at positions 524 to 776 of the family's 1533-position model. The record is from RNAcentral.
UACAGAGGGGGCAAGCGUUAUUCGGAAUUAUUGGGCGUAAAGGGCGCGUAGGCGGCCUUGCAAGUGACGGGUGAAACCCCUCGGCUUAACCGAGGAACUGCCUGUCAGACUGUUUGGCUUGAGACCGGGAGAGGUGAGUGGAAUUCCCAGUGUAGCGGUGAAAUGCGUAGAUAUUGGGAGGAACACCAGUGGCGAAGGCGGCUCACUGGACCGGUACUGACGCUGAGGCGCGAAAGCGUGGGUAGCAAACAGG